UACGUAGGUGGCAAGCGUUGUCCGGAUUUACUGGGUGUAAAGGGCGUGUAGCCGGGUUGACAAGUCAGAUGUGAAAUCCUGCGGCUUAACCGCAGAACUGCAUUUGAAACUGCAUCCCUUGAGUGCGCGAGAAGUAUGCGGAAUGCGUGGUGUAGCGGUGAAAUGCAUAGAUAUCGCGCAGAACUCCGAUUGCGAAGGCAGCAUGCCGGCUCCACACUGACGCUGAGGCACGAAAGCGUGGGUAUCGAACAGG
Molecule: ribosomal RNA, 253 nt
Filed under: uncultured bacterium
Lineage: Bacteria
Description: partial 16S ribosomal RNA
Rfam family: Bacterial small subunit ribosomal RNA
Source: RNAcentral